GGGGGGGGGUUCAGUAGUACGGGGGUGGCACUGCGGGUGACACGGGGGACCUUGGGGUGACACCCAUGGGUGACACAGGUGACACCGGCGUGUCCUGGAAGGUGACACAGGUGGCAUGGGAGUCCUUGGGGUGACACCUGCGGGUGACACAGGUGACACCGGUGUGUCCUGGUGGGUGGCACAGGUGACACAGGUGACCCAGGAGGUGACACAGGUGACACCGGUGUGUCCUGGCGGGUGACACAGCUGACACAGGUGACACCGGGAUGUCCUGGUGGGUGGCACAGGUGACACAGGUGUCCUGGAAGGUGACACAGGUGACACCGGUGUGUCCUGGUGGGUGACACAGGUGGCAUGGGAGUCCUUGGGGUGACACCUGCGGGUGACACAGGUGACACCGGCGUGUCCUGGAAGGUGACACAGGUGACGCAGGUGA
Zonotrichia leucophrys gambelii is the source of this 436-nucleotide long non-coding RNA. RefSeq lists it as uncharacterized. The transcript has 3 exons. The record is from RefSeq and is a predicted model, not a curated record. Lineage: Eukaryota; Metazoa; Chordata; Aves; Passeriformes; Passerellidae.